AAAGUUUAGUUUAUAUAAAACAUUAACAUUGGAAGUUAAAUAAAAACCUUUGAAGUUUUUAAGCUUUU
Non-coding RNA from Fragariocoptes setiger, 68 nucleotides. The record is from the annotation of a GenBank genome assembly. Lineage: Eukaryota; Metazoa; Arthropoda; Arachnida; Trombidiformes; Phytoptidae.